GUGGGGAAUAUUGGGCAAUGGGGGAAACCCUGACCCAGCAACGCCGCGUGAAGGAAGAAGGUUUUCGGAUCGUAAACUUCUAUCCUUGGUGAAGAUAAUGACGGUAGCCAAGAAGGAAGCCCCGGCUAACUACGUGCCAGCAGCCGCGGUAAUACGUAGGGGGCAAGCGUUGUCCGGAAUGAUUGGGCGUAAAGGGCGCGUAGGCGGCCUGGUAAGUCUGGAGUGAAAGUCCUGCUUUUAAGGUGGGAAUUGCUUUGGAUACUGUCGGGCUUGAGUGCAGGAGAGGUAAGCGGAAUUCCCGGUGUAGCGGUGAAAUGCGUAGAGAUCGGGAGGAACACCAGUGGCGAAGGCGGCUUACUGGACUGUAACUGACGCUGAGGCGCGAAAGUGUGGGGAGCAAACAGGAUUAGAAACCCGUGUAGUCC
Molecule: ribosomal RNA, 425 nt
Filed under: uncultured bacterium
Lineage: Bacteria
Description: bacterial SSU rRNA
Rfam family: Bacterial small subunit ribosomal RNA
Source: RNAcentral